GAUGAACGCUGGCGGCGUGCCUAAUACAUGCAAGUCGAGCGAACAGAUAAGGAGCUUGCUCCUUUGACGUUAGCGGCGGACGGGUGAGUAACACGUGGGUAACCUACCUAUAAGACUGGGAUAACUUCGGGAAACCGGAGCUAAUACCGGAUAACAUUUGGAACCGCAUGGUUCUAAAGUGAAAGAUGGUUUUGCUAUCACGUAUAGAUGGACCCGCGCCGUAUUAGCUAGUUGGUAAGGUAACGGCUUACCAAGGCAACGAUACGUAGCCGACCUGAGAGGGUGAUCGGCCACACUGGAACUGAGACACGGUCCAGACUCCUACGGGAGGCAGCAGUAGGGAAUCUUCCGCAAUGGGCGAAAGCCUGACGGAGCAACGCCGCGUGAGUGAUGAAGGGUUUCGGCUCGUAAAACUCUGUUAUUAGGGAAGAACAAACGUGUAAGUAACUGUGCACGUCUUGACGGUACCUAAUCAGAAAGCCACGGCUAACUACGUG
Molecule: ribosomal RNA, 497 nt
Filed under: uncultured bacterium
Lineage: Bacteria
Description: partial 16S ribosomal RNA
Rfam family: Bacterial small subunit ribosomal RNA
Source: RNAcentral